CAGCCGCCACGGUAAUACGUAGGGUGCGAGCGUUAAUCGGAAUUACUGGGCGUAAAGCGAGCGCAGACGGUUAUUUAAGCAGGAUGUGAAAUCCCCGGGCUUAACCUGGGAACUGCGUUCUGAACUGGAUAGCUAGAGUGUGUCAGAGGGGGGUAGAAUUCCACGUGUAGCAGUGAAAUGCGUAGAGAUGUGGAGGAAUACCGAUGGGGAAGGCAGCCCCCUGGGAUAACACUGACGUUCAUGCUCGAAAGCGUGGGUAGCAAACAGGAUUAGAUACCCGCGUAGUCCCUGUCUCUUAUAC
This 301-nucleotide ribosomal RNA is filed under the name uncultured bacterium. RNAcentral's name for it is "partial 16S ribosomal RNA". It matches the Rfam family "Bacterial small subunit ribosomal RNA", at positions 509 to 807 of the family's 1533-position model. The record is from RNAcentral.